GUAGGGCGGGACACGUGGUAUCCUGUCUGAAUAUGGGGGGACCAUCCUCCAAGGCUAAAUACUCCUGACUGACCGAUAGUGAACCAGUACCGUGAGGGAAAGGCGAAAAGAACCCCGGCGAGGGGAGUGAAAAAGAACCUGAAACCGUGUACGUACAAGCAGUGGGAGCCUCUUUAUGGGGUGACUGCGUACCUUUUGUAUAAUGGGUCAGCGACUUAUAUUCUGUAGCAAGGUUAACCGAAUAGGGGAGCCGAAGGGAAACCGAGUCUUAACUGGGCGUUAAGUUGCAGGGUAUAGACCCGAAACCCGGUGAUCUAGCCAUGGGCAGGUUGAAGGUUGGGUAACACUAACUGGAGGACCGAACCGACUAAUGUUGAAAAAUUAGCGGAUGACUUGUGGCUGGGGGUGAAAGGCCAAUCAAACCGGGAGAUAGCUGGUUCUCCCCGAAAGCUAUUUAGGUAGCGCCUCGUGAAUUCAUCUCCGGGGGUAGAGCACUGUUUCGGCAAGGGGGUCAUCCCGACUUACCAACCCGAUGCAAACUGCGAAUACCGGAGAAUGUUAUCACGGGAGACACACGGCGGGUGCUAACGUCCGUCGUGAAGAGGGAAACAACCCAGACCGCCAGCUAAGGUCCCAAAGUCAUGGUUAAGUGGGAAACGAUGUGGGAAGGCCCAGACAGCCAGGAUGUUGGCUUAGAAGCAGCCAUCAUUUAAAGAAAGCGUAAUAGCUCACUGGUCGAGUCGGCCUGCGCGGAAGAUGUAACGGGGCUAAACCAUGCACCGAAGCUGCGGCAGCGACACUAUGUGUUGUUGGGUAGGGGAGCGUUCUGUAAGCCUGUGAAGGUGGCCUGUGAGGGUUGCUGGAGGUAUCAGAAGUGCGAAUGCUGACAUAAGUAACGAUAAAGCGGGUGAAAAGCCCGCUCGCCGGAAGACCAAGGGUUCCUGUCCAACGUUAAUCGGGGCAGGGUGAGUCGACCCCUAAGGCGAGGCCGAAAGGCGUAGUCGAUGGGAAACAGGUUAAUAUUCCUGUACUUGGUGUUACUGCGAAGGGGGGACGGAGAAGGCUAUGUUGGCCGGGCGACGGUUGUCCCGGUUUAAGCGUGUAGGCUGGUUUUCCAGGCAAAUCCGGAAAACCAAGGCUGAGGCGUGAUGACGAGGCACUACGGUGCUGAAGCGACAAAUGCCCUGCUUCCAGGAAAAGCCUCUAAGCAUCAGGUAACAUCAAAUCGUACCCCAAACCGACACAGGUGGUCAGGUAGAGAAUACCAAGGCGCUUGAGAGAACUCGGGUGAAGGAACUAGGCAAAAUGGUGCCGUAACUUCGGGAGAAGGCACGCUGAUAUGUAGGUGAAGCGACUUGCUCGUGGAGCUGAAAUCAGUCGAAGAUACCAGCUGGCUGCAACUGUUUAUUAAAAACACAGCACUGUGCAAACACGAAAGUGGACGUAUACGGUGUGACGCCUGCCCGGUGCCGGAAGGUUAAUUGAUGGGGUUAGCGGUAACGCGAAGCUCUUGAUCGAAGCCCCGGUAAACGGCGGCCGUAACUAUAACGGUCCUAAGGUAGCGAAAUUCCUUGUCGGGUAAGUUCCGACCUGCACGAAUGGCGUAAUGAUGGCCAGGCUGUCUCCACCCGAGACUCAGUGAAAUUGAACUCGCUGUGAAGAUGCAGUGUACCCGCGGCAAGACGGAAAGACCCCGUGAACCUUUACUAUAGCUUGACACUGAACAUUGAGCCUUGAUGUGUAGGAUAGGUGGGAGGCUUUGAAGUGUGGACGCCAGUCUGCAUGGAGCCGACCUUGAAAUACCACCCUUUAAUGUUUGAUGUUCUAACGUUGGCCCGUAAUCCGGGUUGCGGACAGUGUCUGGUGGGUAGUUUGACUGGGGCGGUCUCCUCCUAAAGAGUAACGGAGGAGCACGAAGGUUGGCUAAUCCUGGUCGGACAUCAGGAGGUUAGUGCAAUGGCAUAAGCCAGCUUGACUGCGAGCGUGACGGCGCGAGCAGGUGCGAAAGCAGGUCAUAGUGAUCCGGUGGUUCUGAAUGGAAGGGCCAUCGCUCAACGGAUAAAAGGUACUCCGGGGAUAACAGGCUGAUACCGCCCAAGAGUUCAUAUCGACGGCGGUGUUUGGCACCUCGAUGUCGGCUCAUCACAUCCUGGGGCUGAAGUAGGUCCCAAGGGUAUGGCUGUUCGCCAUUUAAAGUGGUACGCGAGCUGGGUUUAGAACGUCGUGAGACAGUUCGGUCCCUAUCUGCCGUGGGCGCUGGAGAACUGAGGGGGGCUGCUCCUAGUACGAGAGGACCGGAGUGGACGCAUCACUGGUGUUCGGGUUGUCAUGCCAAUGGCACUGCCCGGUAGCUAAAUGCGGAAGAGAUAAGUGCUGAAAGCAUCUAAGCACGAAACUUGCCCCGAGAUGAGUUCUCCCUGACUCCUUG
Molecule: ribosomal RNA, 2428 nt
Filed under: Escherichia coli
Lineage: Bacteria; Pseudomonadati; Pseudomonadota; Gammaproteobacteria; Enterobacterales; Enterobacteriaceae
Description: partial 23S ribosomal RNA
Rfam family: Bacterial large subunit ribosomal RNA
Source: RNAcentral